This is a long non-coding RNA of Carlito syrichta (Philippine tarsier), 1559 nucleotides long. RefSeq lists it as uncharacterized. The transcript has 4 exons. The record is from RefSeq and is a predicted model, not a curated record. NCBI's taxonomy places the organism in Eukaryota, Metazoa, Chordata, Mammalia, Primates, Tarsiidae.
CUUUUAUGUCUCCUUUUCUUCCAGAAGCUGGCCUGGAAAUAAGCUCCUAUCCCAGCAACAAAGGGCUGCAUCCCUGUGGCUGGCAACGAAUCCUCCUAUACUGAAAUACUUUCCAAAAUGCUGUUCCUGGUUGACUUAUGUGGAAACGUCUGCUCAUCAUUGCAGCAUGGCGUGCACUGUCAUAGAGGAGUGCAUGACUGCAAUUGGAUGUCAUGACCAAUGAUGUACCAGUCACCGAGGAUCAUCAAUCAAAAAGUAGUUCUUAGCCAGGCUCGGUGGCUCAGCCUGUAAUCCCGCACUUUUGGGAGGCUGAGGGAUCUCUUCUUCAGAGAAGGCCUUGGAUAUAACUGUCAGUCUCUGGAGUGAAGGAUAUCAGCCUCAUGUCCUCAGAAAGUCAAAUAGUCUUCAGUAAUUUUAUCAUGUUUGGUUACUUGUCAUGACCAUCAUUAGUUCAUAAGAUCCAGUGGGCCCCCUGAGGCAAAGGAACUAUUAGUUCUGGAGUUGAACUGAACUCUGAAUGAAUACAAGUACUUUAUCCCUUGACACCCGUAUGAUACUGGAGCAAUGACAGCCUUCAGAUGCUCUCAACCUGGUGUUUCAUGAGGUCCAAGAGUCUCCUCCAACUUCAGGGAGAAGAGGAUUUUGUCGAGCGUGAGAGACUGGACAGCCAGGCACAUGAAUACAUACUAAAGCAUUAUUUUUCUAAACUUCUGCCAGAUGACCUUAGUCACGCAUCUUCUGAGGUCUCAGGGAGUGUGGAAUGGUGAUGCAAACAAGUAGAGGGUGCCAAAGUCAUGUUGAGAGGGGACACAAACUAAGCAGUAGAUAAAAAAUCCACUUGUGAAAUCCUCAACACUCUUGAAACCUCAAGAGGUGGAACAUCACUGAUUACAAGCAGCAGGCAAGAUUCAAACAUUUCACAUAUUGCUCAAGAAACCUAAUUAUUACACUGUAGACCACUUUGCAAUUUGAGAUAUGAGAGGAUACGCAUAUAAAAUGUAUCACCCUAAACCCCAUGUAUGCUGUGUUCUUUGGCUCUUGAUCGUUGGGGAUCGCCAGACAUUGCCUGAAAACAGAGGUCCCAACUGAAAUGUAUUGUGUCAUCUACAUGUAUUUGAAGAAAGGUCUGUGGGAGGCAGCAUCCCAGUGGAAGUAUUUGUUUCCUUUUUGACACGUGCUUUUUGGCUCCUUUUCUCCCAGUAGCUGGCAUGGAAAUAUGCUGCUAUCCCAGCAACAAAGGAUUGCAUCCAGGUGGCUGGCCAGGGAUCCUCUGAAAAUGAAAUAUUCUCCAAAACGAUAAUCCUGGUUGACUUGUGAGCAUAUAAGUGUCCUUGCGAUGGAUAUGGGAUUUGCAGAUACUUUUGUUGGGUCAAUGAUGAGGACUUUAUAUUGCCUUGAGGAGCGGUGAUGACUUAAAUAUCACGUACAAUGUGGAAACUUCUGCUCAGUGUGGCUGCAUGGCAUACAUCUUCCUAGGGGAGUGCAUGGCUGCGAUCAGUUGUCAUGACCAGUGAUUUACCAGUAACCAAGGUUCAUCAAUCAUUGAGGAGUUCCUGCUC